UUUCGGGUCUUCGCUUCUCGCGGGGGCUCGGAGGUCGCGGAUCCGUCUUCGAAUUUGCGGUGAAUUUACCAGCUCGGGGGGGAUUCCUUUCGCUCUAAAAAGGCGGGGGGAGUCUUCUUCUUGUUGGAUCGCAAAGUUUUACUUUGAAUAAAUUAGGGUGUUCAAAGCAGACGAAUACGUCUUGAAUAGAUUAGCAUGGGAUAAUAGAAUAAGACCUUCCUCCGCGAUCCGUCGCGGUUGGCUUAUAUUUGCUGGUUUCUUAGGCCAGGGUAAUGAUUAAUAGGGACGGUUGGGGUCGCUCGUACUCGGUGGUGAGAGGUGAAAUUCUAAGACCCAUCGAAGACGAACAAGUGCGAAGGCAUUCGACAAGGAUGUUUUCUUUAAUCAAGAACGAAAGUUAUGGGAUCGAAGAUGAUCAGAUACCGUCGUAGUCAUAACCGUAAACUAUGUUGACUCGGGAUCUGGGGAUGUUACAUGGAUGACUCUCCAGGCACCGUGUGCGAAAGCACAAGUAUUCGAACUCCGGGGGGAGUAUGGUCGCAAGGCUGAAACUUAAAGGAAUUGACGGAAGGGCACCACCAGGUGUGGAAUCUGCGGCUUAAUUUGACACAACACGGGGAAACUUACCCGGUCAGGACGCGAUGAGGAUUGACAGAUUGAUAGUUCUUUCUUGAUUUUGUGGAAGCCGGUGCAUGGCCGUUUUUUAGUUGGUGGAGUGAUUUGUCUGGUUAAGUCCGAUAACGAACGAGACCUAACUCUAUUAAAUAGUGGUGCGAACAAGGGAGCUCUCGCGGCAGGCUCGGGUUCUCCCGGGUUUGUCGAGGUGGGGCUUCCGUUCAUUUGUUCGUAGCGAACGAUACUUCUUAGAGAGACACUUGGUCGAUAACAGCAGCCAAUGGAAGUUUUAGGCAAAAACAGGUCUGUGAUGCCGCUAGAUGUCCGGGGCUGCACGCGCGUUACACUGAUGUGUUCAACAAGUAUUACAAAAUGACCUGGCCCGAAGGGGCUUGGGCAAUCUCGUAAUGCACAUCGUGAUGGGGAUCGUGCUUUGUAACUAUCGCACGUGAACGAGGAAUACCUAGUAAGGACAGGUCAUCAACCUGCCCUGAUUACGUCCCUGCCCUUUGUACACACCGCCCGUCGCUUCUACCGAUUGAAUUACUCGAUGAGGACUCGGGAGGCGGGGCACGAUCCGGUUUUACCGCCGGUGACGUUUUGCCGAACCUGUUCGAAUCUCGUAGUUUAGAGGAAGAAGAAGUCGU
Molecule: ribosomal RNA, 1262 nt
Filed under: metagenome
Description: bacterial SSU rRNA
Rfam family: Eukaryotic small subunit ribosomal RNA
Source: RNAcentral